RNAcentral lists this ribosomal RNA (548 nucleotides) under bacterium. RNAcentral describes it as "bacterial SSU rRNA". It matches the Rfam family "Bacterial small subunit ribosomal RNA", at positions 100 to 646 of the family's 1533-position model. The record is from RNAcentral.
GUAGAGGGAUGCCUAGGAAUCUGCCUAGUAGUGGGGGAUAACGUUUCGGAAACGGACGCUAAUACCGCAUACGUCCUACGGGAGAAAGUGGGGGACCUUCGGGCCUCACGCUAUUAGAUGAGCCUAGGUCGGAUUAGCUAGUUGGUGAGGUAAUGGCUCACCAAGGCGACGAUCCGUAACUGGUCUGAGAGGAUGAUCAGUCACACUGGAACUGAGACACGGUCCAGACUCCUACGGGAGGCAGCAGUGGGGAAUAUUGGACAAUGGGCGAAAGCCUGAUCCAGCCAUGCCGCGUGUGUGAAGAAGGUCUUCGGAUUGUAAAGCACUUUAAGUUGGGAGGAAGGGCAGUAACUUAAUACUUUGUUGUUUUGACGUUACCGACAGAAUAAGCACCGGCUAACUCUGUGCCAGCAGCCGCGGUAAUACAGAGGGUGCAAGCGUUAAUCGGAAUUACUGGGCGUAAAGCGCGCGUAGGCGGUUUGUUAAGUUGGAUGUGAAAGCCCCCGGGCUCAACCUGGGAAACUGCAUCCAAAACUGGCAAGCUAGAA